CCCUAGUUCCUUAGGUUAAGCGGAGCGCUUUCGAGAAAGAGUGGGGAAGUUAAGACCAGGAUUCUGCCCACCCAGCGUCUCCUCCUCACACCAAGGUCAAUGGCUACUAUGACUGAGUCCAGGAACCUGGAGUUCAAGGUCACACCAAUGCAGCCAGUCAUCCUGAUGUCCUUGAAUCCCCCAGAAAAGGAUUAUUUGUUUCUCUCCAUCAUUUCCUUCUUCUUCUUCAUUCUGCUGGCAAUCCCGGCCCUCUUCUUCUCCCUCAAGACCCGGCAAGCCAACUUUCAUGGGAAUCAGAGGAAAGCACAGAUCAAUUCCAGACUGGCCCUGGGAUUCAGCAUCUCAAGCAUCCUGGUGGGCUCCAUUAUGAUCAUUUGCUCUAUUGUAGUUGGAGUCCUGAAACGUAAAGUAUGAGAUCAUAUUGAAAGCUCACUUCCCUCAAAGAGUCAUGAGCUGCACCUUCUGGAGCCUUUGAAUUUGGACAUCAAUAAUCUACCUGUACUGGAGGAAGUCUCCCCUCCAUUAGCAUUUGUUAAGAGAAAUAAAGUUUAU
Molecule: non-coding RNA, 552 nt
Organism: Callorhinus ursinus (northern fur seal)
Lineage: Eukaryota; Metazoa; Chordata; Mammalia; Carnivora; Otariidae
Source: RefSeq, a predicted model, not a curated record